Molecule: ribosomal RNA, 253 nt
Filed under: uncultured bacterium
Lineage: Bacteria
Description: partial 16S ribosomal RNA
Rfam family: Bacterial small subunit ribosomal RNA
Source: RNAcentral
UACGUAGGGGGCAAGCGUUGUCCGGAUUUAUUGGGCGUAAAGAGCGUGUAGGCGGCCAGGUAGGUCCGUUGUGAAAACUCGAGGCUCAACCUCGAGACGCCGAUGGAAACCAUCUGGCUAGAGUCCGGAAGAGGAGAGUGGAAUUCCCGGUGUAGCGGUGAAAUGCGCAGAUAUCAGGAAGAACACCUAUGGCGAAGGCAGCUCUCUGGGACGGUACUGACGCUGAGACGCGAAAGCGUGGGGAGCGAACAGG